GUCUACAGCCAUGCCACCCUGAACAUGCCCGAUCCCGUCUGGUCUCAGAAGCUAAGCAGGGUUGGACCUGGUUAGUACUUGGAUGGGUGACUACCUAGGAAUACCAGGUGCCGUAGGCA
RNAcentral lists this ribosomal RNA (119 nucleotides) under Pteropus alecto (black flying fox). Lineage: Eukaryota; Metazoa; Chordata; Mammalia; Chiroptera; Pteropodidae. The record is from RNAcentral.